AAAUGAAUUGACGGGGGCCCGCACAAGCGGUGGAGUAUGUGGUUUAAUUCGAUGCAACGCGCAGAACCUUACCUGGCCUUGACAUGUCGCGAAUCCUGCAGAGAUGCGGGAGUGCCUUCGGGAAUGCGAACACAGGUGCUGCAUGGCUGUCGUCAGCUCGUGUCGUGAGAUGUUGGGUUAAGUCCCGCAACGAGCGCAACCCUUGUCCUUAGUUGCCAGCACUUCGGGUGGGAACUCUAAGGAGACCGCCGGUGACAAACCGGAGGAAGGUGGGGAUGACGUCAAGUCCUCAUGGCCCUUAUGGCCAGGGCUACACACGUACUACAAUGGGGCGUACAGAGGGUUGCGAAGCCGCGAGGUGGAGCCAAUCCCAUAAAACGCUUCUCAGUCCGGAUCGAAGUCUGCAACUCGACUUCGUGAAGUCGGAAUCGCUAGUAAUCGCGGAUCAGAACGCCGCGGUGAAUACGUUCCCGGGCCUUGUACACACCGCCCGU
Molecule: ribosomal RNA, 494 nt
Filed under: uncultured bacterium
Lineage: Bacteria
Description: bacterial SSU rRNA
Rfam family: Bacterial small subunit ribosomal RNA
Source: RNAcentral